AACAUCGCGCACCUGCGGGAACCUGCGGAAGGAUCAUUACUGAGUCACGUGCUCAAACAACCCUUCUGUGGACCUGAAAUAAAACCGUUGCCUCGGCGGGCGGUCCCCCCCAAACCAACCCCACGUGGUGGGUUAGGGGAGACCAGACAGUCCGGUACGCUUAAGGCGUCCGGCGCCAGCCGCUGGCCCCAAACAAUUAAACUCUAGUAACCUUUACCUUCUGAGUUUCAAUAUUUAAAA
RNAcentral lists this unclassified non-coding RNA (240 nucleotides) under soil metagenome. Its description in RNAcentral is "partial contains 5.8S ribosomal RNA, internal transcribed spacer 2, and large subunit ribosomal RNA". The record is from RNAcentral.